GACGGAGGGGGCUAGCGUUGUUCGGAAUGACUGGGCGUAAAGGGCGCGUAGGCGGUCUGUUAAGUGAGGCGUGAAAGCCCUGGGCUUAACCCAGGAGGUGCGUUUCAUACUGAUAGGCUAGAGUGUGAGAGAGGAAAGUGGAAUUCCUAGUGUAGAGGUGAAAUUCGUAGAUAUUAGGAAGAACACCAGAGGCGAAGGCGGCUUUCUGGCUCGCAACUGACGCUGAGGCGCGAAAGCGUGGGGAGCAAACAGG
RNAcentral lists this ribosomal RNA (253 nucleotides) under uncultured bacterium. RNAcentral describes it as "partial 16S ribosomal RNA". It matches the Rfam family "Bacterial small subunit ribosomal RNA", at positions 524 to 776 of the family's 1533-position model. The record is from RNAcentral.